This 851-nucleotide ribosomal RNA is filed under the name uncultured bacterium. RNAcentral's name for it is "bacterial SSU rRNA". It matches the Rfam family "Bacterial small subunit ribosomal RNA", at positions 601 to 1453 of the family's 1533-position model. The record is from RNAcentral.
CCCCGGGCUCAACCUGGGAACUGCGUUNUGAACUGGGUGACUAGAGUGUGUCAGAGGGAGGUAGAAUUNCACGUGUAGCAGUGAAAUGCGUAGAGAUGUGGAGGAAUACCGAUGGCGAAGGCAGCCUCCUGGGAUAACACUGACGUUCAUGCCCGAAAGCGUGGGUAGCAAACAGGAUUAGAUACCCUGGUAGUCCACGCCCUAAACGAUGUCGAUUAGCUGUUGGGCAGCAUGACUGCUUAGUAGCGAAGCUAACGCGUGAAAUCGACCGCCUGGGGAGUACGGUCGCAAGAUUAAAACUCAAAGGAAUUGACGGGGACCCGCACAAGCGGUGGAUGAUGUGGAUUGAUUCGAUGCAACGCGAAGAACCUUACCUGGUCUUGACAUGUACGGAACCCUCCAGAGACGGAGGGGUGCCUUCGGGAGCCGUAACACAGGUGCUGCAUGGCUGUCGUCAGCUCGUGUCGUGAGAUGUUGGGUUAAGUCCCGCAACGAGCGCAACCCUUGUCAUUAGUUGCCAUCAUUAAGUUGGGCACUCUAAUGAGACUGCCGGUGACAAGCCGGAGGAAGGUGGGGAUGACGUCAAGUCCUCAUGGCCCUUAUGACCAGGGCUUCACACGUCAUACAAUGGUCGGUACAGAGGGUAGCCAAGCCGCGAGGUGGAGCCAAUCUCACAAAACCGAUCGUAGUCCGGAUUGCACUCUGCAACUCGAGUGCAUGAAGUCGGAAUCGCUAGUAAUCGCAGGUCAGCAUACUGCGGUGAAUACGUUCCCGGGUCUUGUACACACCGCCCGUCACACCAUGGGAGUGGGGGAUACCAGAAGUGGGUAGGGUAACCGCAAGGAGCCCGC